RNAcentral lists this non-coding RNA (238 nucleotides) under Lactobacillus helveticus. Its description in RNAcentral is "T-box sequence". It matches the Rfam family "T-box leader". Rfam says of the family: Uncharged tRNA acts as the effector for transcription antitermination of genes in the T-box leader family. T-boxes are found upstream of many aminoacyl-tRNA synthetase genes and some amino acid biosynthetic genes usually in Gram-positive bacteria. Lineage: Bacteria; Bacillati; Bacillota; Bacilli; Lactobacillales; Lactobacillaceae. The record is from RNAcentral.
UUGAAAAAUUUGAAAAGCAGAGUAAUUAUCGCUUAAUUGUUACAGAGAAUUAUCGGUUGGUGAGAGAUAAGCAAUUGAAGGUAAUGAAGAUGGGCUUGGAUAUCAGUGUUAGCGAUAAGUAGUUACCAACAUAGUUUGUGAACCGUUAGCUGUCACAAACUAUGUUGGUAGUUAAUAAGGUUCAUUGCGCGAGUAAUGGAUAAAUUAAAGGUGGUAACGCGAAGCACUCGUCCUUUUG